This 566-nucleotide small RNA is filed under the name Penicillium crustosum. RNAcentral describes it as "eukaryotic LSU rRNA". The stretch from base 186 to 338 matches the Rfam family "5.8S ribosomal RNA". Lineage: Eukaryota; Fungi; Ascomycota; Eurotiomycetes; Eurotiales; Aspergillaceae. The record is from RNAcentral.
AAACGGGGAGCAUCCGCGCGUGUACCUGCGUCAUAUCAGUAAGCUAGAGGAAGCCGUAGGUGAACCUGCUGCAUAUCUAUAAGCGGACGAAUGGGUAUGUGACCCUGCGUCAUAUCCCUGAGAAGACGGAAGUCGGACUCUGAGCCUAGCAUUAUAUCUCAUGAGUGAGAAGAUGCAUUAUGUAAACCUUUCUACAACCGAUCACUUGAUUAAGGCAUCCGUGAACAACCCAGCGAAAUGCGAUACGUAGUGUGAAUUGCUAAUUCAGUGAAUCAUCGAGUCUUUGAACGCACAUUGCGCCCCCUGGUAUUCCGGGGGGCAUGCCUGUCCGAGCGUCAUUGCUGCCCUCAAGCCCGGCUUGUGUGUUGGGCCCCGUCCCCCGAUCUCCGGGGGACGGGCCCGAAAGGCAGCGGCGGCACCGCGUCCGGUCCUCGAGCGUAUGGGGCUUUGUCACCCGCUCUGUAGGCCCGGCCGGCGCUUGCCGAUCAACCCAAAUUUUUAUCCAGGUUGACCUCGGAUCAGGUAGGGAUCCCGCUGAACUUAGCAUAUCAUAAGCGGAGGAAGAC